RNAcentral lists this ribosomal RNA (433 nucleotides) under uncultured bacterium. RNAcentral describes it as "partial 16S ribosomal RNA". It matches the Rfam family "Bacterial small subunit ribosomal RNA", at positions 29 to 507 of the family's 1533-position model. The record is from RNAcentral.
AACGAACGCUGGCGGCAGGCUUAACACAUGCAAGUCGAGCGCACCUUUCGGGGUGAGUGGCAGACGGGUGAGUAACGCGUGGGAAUCUACCCUUCUCUACGGGAUAGCUCCGGGAAACUGGAAUUAAUACCGUAUACGUCCUGAGGGAGAAAGAUUUAUCGGGGAAGGAUGAGCCCGCGUUGGAUUAGCUAGUUGGUGGGGUAAAGGCCUACCAAGGCGACGAUCCAUAGCUGGUCUAAGAGGAUGAUCAGCCACAUUGGGACUGAGACACGGCCCAAACUCCUACGGGAAGCAGCAGUGGGGAAUAUUGGACAAUGGGCGCAAGCCUGAUCCAGCCAUGCCGCGUGAGUGAUGAAGGCCCUAGGGUUGUAAAGCUCUUUCAGUGGGGACGAUAAUGACGGUACCCACAGAAGAAGCCCCGGCUAACUUCGUG